Molecule: ribosomal RNA, 497 nt
Filed under: uncultured bacterium
Lineage: Bacteria
Description: partial 16S ribosomal RNA
Rfam family: Bacterial small subunit ribosomal RNA
Source: RNAcentral
GAUGAACGCUGGCGGCGUGCCUAAUACAUGCAAGUCGAGCGAACAGACGAGGAGCUUGCUCCUCUGACGUUAGCGGCGGACGGGUGAGUAACACGUGGAUAACCUACCUAUAAGACUGGGAUAACUUCGGGAAACCGGAGCUAAUACCGGAUAAUAUAUUGAACCGCAUGGUUCAAUAGUGAAAGACGGUUUUGCUGUCACUUAUAGAUGGAUCCGCGCCGCAUUAGCUAGUUGGUAAGGUAACGGCUUACCAAGGCAACGAUGCGUAGCCGACCUGAGAGGGUGAUCGGCCACACUAGAACUGAGACACGGUCCAGACUCCUACGGGAGGCAGCAGUAGGGAAUCUUCCGCAAUGGGCGAAAGCCUGACGGAGCAACGCCGCGUGAGUGAUGAAGGUCUUCGGAUCGUAAAACUCUGUUAUUAGGGAAGAACAAAUGUGUAAGUAACUAUGCACGUCUUAACGGUACCUAAUCAGAAAGCCACGGCUAACUACGUG